AAACUCAAAUGAAUUGACGGGACCCGCACAGGCGGUGGAUGAUGUGGUUUAAUUCGAUGCAACGCGAAAACCUUACCCACCUUUGACAUGUACGGAACCCUUUAGAGAUAGAGGGGUGCUCGAAAGAGAGCCGUAACACAGGUGCUGCAUGGCUGUCGUCAGCUCGUGUCGUGAGAUGUUGGGUUAAGUCCCGCAACGAGCGCAACCCUUGUCAUUAGUUGCUACAUUCAGUUGGGCACUCUAAUGAGACUGCCGGUGACAAGCCGGAGGAAGGUGGGGAUGACGUCAAGUCCUCAUGGCCCUUAUAGGUGGGGCUACACACGUCAUACAAUGGCUGGUACAAAGGGUUGCCAACCCGCGAGGGGGAGCCAAUCCCAUAAAGCCAGUCGUAGUCCGGAUCGUAGUCUGCAACUCGACUACGUGAAGUCGGAAUCGCUAGUAAUCGUGGAUCAGAAUGUCACGGUGAAUACGUUCCCGGGUCUU
RNAcentral lists this ribosomal RNA (483 nucleotides) under uncultured Rhodoferax sp. Its description in RNAcentral is "bacterial SSU rRNA". It matches the Rfam family "Bacterial small subunit ribosomal RNA", at positions 897 to 1382 of the family's 1533-position model. Lineage: Bacteria; Pseudomonadati; Pseudomonadota; Betaproteobacteria; Burkholderiales; Comamonadaceae. The record is from RNAcentral.